GGGCGGUUAGCUCAGCUGGGAGAGCGCCAGAAUCGCACUCUGGAGGCCAGGGGUUCAAAUCCCCUACCGUCCA
Molecule: transfer RNA, 73 nt
Filed under: Thermodesulfovibrio yellowstonii
Lineage: Bacteria; Pseudomonadati; Nitrospirota; Thermodesulfovibrionia; Thermodesulfovibrionales; Thermodesulfovibrionaceae
Also listed under: 4 other names
Description: tRNA-Ala
Rfam family: tRNA
About the family: Transfer RNA (tRNA) molecules are approximately 80 nucleotides in length. Their secondary structure includes four short double-helical elements and three loops (D, anti-codon, and T loops).
Source: RNAcentral